This 576-nucleotide ribosomal RNA is filed under the name uncultured bacterium. RNAcentral describes it as "bacterial SSU rRNA". It matches the Rfam family "Bacterial small subunit ribosomal RNA", at positions 338 to 916 of the family's 1533-position model. The record is from RNAcentral.
CCUACGGGAGGCAGCAGUAGGGAAUAUUGGUCAAUGGACGGAAGUCUGAACCAGCCAUUCCGCGUGCAGGAAGAAGGUCCUAUGGACUGUAAACUGCUUUAGCAGAGAAGAAACGCCUUCAUUUAUGAGGGUCUGACGGUAUCUGCGGAAUAAGCACCGGCUAACUCCGUGCCAGCAGCCGCGGUAAUACGGGGGGUGCAAGCGUUAUCCGGAAUCACUGGGUUUAAAGGGUGCGUAGGCGGGACAUUAAGUCAGUGGUGAAAGUCUGUUGCUUAACGAUAGAAUUGCCGUGGAUACUGAUGUUCUUGAAUUGGGUUGAGGUUAACGGAAUGUGACAUGUAGCGGUGAAAUGCAUAGAUAUGUCAUGGAACACCAAUUGCGAAGGCAGCUAGCUGGGCCUUGAUUGACGCUGAGGCACGAAAGCGUGGGGAGCAAACAGGAUUAGAUACCCUGGUAGUCCACGCCCUAAACGAUGCUAACUCGAUGUUUGGUUUUAGGAUUGAGCCAUCUAAGGGAACCGAUAGUUAGCCACCUGGGGAGUACGACCGCAAGGUUGAAACUCAAAGGAAUUGACGG